Molecule: long non-coding RNA, 929 nt
Filed under: Nicotiana benthamiana
Lineage: Eukaryota; Viridiplantae; Streptophyta; Magnoliopsida; Solanales; Solanaceae
Description: long non-coding RNA (NBEN_LNC041976)
Source: RNAcentral
GAUGCAUUAGGAUGAUCUUUUCAUUCCAGGUAUACCUAUCCUAGACAGGCCCGACCCCUUUAUUGAGCCUCCAAAGUCAAAUGCACAUGAUGCAAACAAACGUUCCUACUAGGGAUCCGGCAUGAGGUUUUGUUAUACUAGAUUUAAAACCUGGGUUUAUUGUUCUAGACCUGGUUACCCGAGUGGACAACUCGAGCCAGGGGAGGGGGCCAGCAUAACGGGAAUUUAGAAGCUUCACCGGCUUUGCAACUUGUCCGAACCUCGCUCAAAAAUUUGGGAUAAGACUCUAACAGAAAAGAAGUUACACGGAGUGCACACUUCUCGUAUGAUUUACAAAACUUAGAGAGAGGAGGGAUUCGUAGCAGUUUAUAUAUUGUUCAACAAUAUCAAAGCGGUAAAAGCAACAUUUAGCAUAUUAGGCUCAAACAUAUGAAUAAAACCAGAUAAUAAAUAAACCAAAAAUAACAAUUCAUCUAAGCUCGAAUUCUAGAAUUCUAAACCAGAGAUUCCGGGUUCUUAUCCCCAGUAGAGUCGCCAGAGCUGUCAUGCCUCCCUUUUUUACUACACCUCCGUAAGAGUACAAGAGUAUUUUUUCUAACUUAAAGUGGCAAUCAAAACGGGAUUUAUUUAUUUAAAGAUUCAGAGUUGUCACUUGGCAUAGUUUAUGGUGUCCCAAGUCACCAGUUUUAAAUCCCGAAUCGAGGAAAGAUUGACUCUGUUUUGCAGUCUGCGAACACAGAAAUUCAGGUAAGAAAUUCUGUUAACCCGGGAUAAGGUGUUAGUCAUUCUUGAGUUCCAUGGUUCUAGCACGAUCGCUCAACUGUUAUUAUUGGCCUAUUUUUCUAACUUUAAAAUAAUUUUAAACCUAUGUGCCUUUUAACUUUAAAACAGCUUUUAAUUAUUUAAGAAAGAUUUAAACGUCAUCUAAA